UAACUUUUUUGGGAGAAGCUUGGGGGUGCAAUGAAAGUGGGCCUUCAUCAGGGGGGGCGUGGCUUGGUCUUUUAGGGACAAUGGAGAAGGUCUCUUCUUCUACCACUUCUGGGUUAGCGAGCAAGAUUUUUAUUCUGGUAUGCCUCUGCCCAAAUAGGACCCAAGCUGCUAUCUCGGGGUCCAGGACAUUUAGCAAUCCAGACAGAAGACAUUACCGCUUAAUUAGAAAUGAGACAACUCAGGUGCGUGUCUGUGGGUUGGCGGCAGGACGCCGGGCGAGAGAGCCACCAUUUCGAUUGCGUUGCUGAGGUAAUUCGAGCUGUCACAUUCAGCUGUCAAGAGGAGGUAAUGGAGACCGCCUUGGGGAGAAGCCUCCGUGGGGGAAUGCAGUGCGUACUUCGGAUUAAAAGAGGUGGCCACGGUGGAUCAAUGCCGCUCCCCGUGA
Pantherophis guttatus is the source of this 445-nucleotide long non-coding RNA. RefSeq lists it as uncharacterized. The record is from RefSeq and is a predicted model, not a curated record. NCBI's taxonomy places the organism in Eukaryota, Metazoa, Chordata, Lepidosauria, Squamata, Colubridae.